RNAcentral lists this ribosomal RNA (450 nucleotides) under uncultured bacterium. Its description in RNAcentral is "partial 16S ribosomal RNA". It matches the Rfam family "Bacterial small subunit ribosomal RNA", at positions 338 to 795 of the family's 1533-position model. The record is from RNAcentral.
CCUACGGGGGGCUGCAGUAAGGAAUAUUGGUCAAUGGAGGAAACUCUGAACCAGCCAUCCCGCGUGAAGGAUGAAGGGGCUCUGCCUUGUAAACUUCUUUUGUCUGGGGCGAAAAAGCUCGAUUUAUCGAGAACUGACGGUACCAGAAGAAUAAGCACCGGCUAACUCCGUGCCAGCAGUCGCGGUAAUACGGAGGGUGCAGGCGUUAUCCGGAAUCACUGGGUUUAAGGGGUGCGUAUACGUCAGUGGAGAAAGGCUGUGGCGUAACGAUGGAAUUGCCAAUGAUACUGCAGAGCUUGAAUGAGGUUGAGGUUGGCGGAAUGUGACAUGUAGCGGUGAAAUGCAUAGAUAUGUCAUGGAACACCGAUUGCGAAGGCAGCUGACUGGACCUAUAUUGACGCUGAGGCACGAAAGCGUGGGGAGCGAACAGGAUUAGAUACCCGUGUAGUC